Molecule: small nucleolar RNA, 213 nt
Organism: Suncus etruscus (white-toothed pygmy shrew)
Lineage: Eukaryota; Metazoa; Chordata; Mammalia; Eulipotyphla; Soricidae
Product: small nucleolar RNA U3
Exons: 1
Source: RefSeq, a predicted model, not a curated record
AAGACUAUACUUUCAGGGAUCAUUUCUAUAGUAUGUAACUAGAGAAGUUUCUCUGAUUGUGUAGCCACCCAAAGCCAAGAGGAAGAGCCAGAGCAUCCUCUCCUGAGCGUGAAGCCAGCUCUAGGUGUCGCUUCUGCAACUGCCUUUAGCCAUUGAUGAUCGUUCUUCCCUUCCUUUGGAAGGGUUCGAGGGAGAGGAUGCAGUCUGAGUGGU